GACGAACGCUGGCGGCGUGCUUAACACAUGCAAGUCGAACGGAAAGGCCCUGCUUUUGUGGGGUGCUCGAGUGGCGAACGGGUGAGUAGCACGUGAGUAACCUGCCCUUGACUUUGGGAUAACUUCAGGAAACUGGGGCUAAUACCGGAUAGGAGCUCCUGCUGCAUGGUGGGGGUUGGAAAGUUUCGGCGGUUGGGGAUGGACUCGCGGCUUAUCAGCUUGUUGGUGGGGUAGUGGCUUACCAAGGCUUUGACGGGUAGCCGGCCUGAGGGGGUGACCGGCCACAUUGGGACUGAGAUACGGCCCAGACUCCUACGGGAGGCAGCAGUGGGGAAUAUUGCACAAUGGGCGGAAGCCUGAUGCAGCAACGCCGCGUGCGGGAUGACGGCCUUCGGGUUGUAAACCGCUUUCGCCUGUGACGAAGCGUGAGUGACGGUAAUGGGUAAAGAAGCACCGGCUAACUACGUG
Molecule: ribosomal RNA, 468 nt
Filed under: uncultured bacterium
Lineage: Bacteria
Description: partial 16S ribosomal RNA
Rfam family: Bacterial small subunit ribosomal RNA
Source: RNAcentral